This 454-nucleotide ribosomal RNA is filed under the name uncultured bacterium. RNAcentral's name for it is "partial 16S ribosomal RNA". It matches the Rfam family "Bacterial small subunit ribosomal RNA", at positions 28 to 507 of the family's 1533-position model. The record is from RNAcentral.
GAUGAACGCUGACAGAAUGCUUAACACAUGCAAGUCAACUUGAACUUCGGUUUGGGUGGCGGACGGGUGAGUAACGCGUAAAGAACUUGCCUCACAGAUAGGGACAACAUUUGGAAACGAAUGCUAAUACCUGAUAUUAUGAUUAUAUGGCAUCGUAUAAUUAUGAAAGCUAUAUGCGCUGUGAGAGAGCUUUGCGUCCCAUUAGCUAGUUGGAGAGGUAACGGCUCACCAAGGCGAUGAUGGGUAGCCGGCCUGAGAGGGUGAUCGGCCACAAGGGGACGGAGACACGGCCCUUACUCCUACGGGAGGCAGCAGUGGGGAAUAUUGGACAAUGGACCAAGAGUCUGAUCCAGCACUUCUGUGUGCACGAUGAAGUUUUUCGGAAUGUAAAGUGCUUUCAGUUGGGAAGAAAAAAAUGACGGUACCAACAGAAGAAGUGACGGCUAAAUACGUG